AGUCACUGACAUUAGAUACCCGGGUAGUCCCAGCCGUAAACAAUGUGCGUUAGGUGUGUCGGUAACCACGCGUUACUGAUGCGCCGAAGAGAAAUCGUGAAACGCACCACCUGGGAAGUACGGUCACAAGGCUGAAACUUAAAGGAAUUGGCGGGGGAGCACCACAACAGGUGGAGCCUGCGGUUUAAUUGGAUUCAACGCCGGACAUCCCACCGGAUAAGACAGCUGAAUGAUUGUCAAUCUGAAGGUUUUACAUGACUAGCUG
Molecule: ribosomal RNA, 265 nt
Filed under: uncultured archaeon
Lineage: Archaea
Description: partial 16S ribosomal RNA
Rfam family: Archaeal small subunit ribosomal RNA
Source: RNAcentral